ACAUGCCUACAACAUAGUGUUAAUGCAUAAGAUCUCAUUAGAACUCUGUAGUUAAGUGUGCUCAGGAUAUAGUAGUACUGGGAUGAGUGACUUCCUGGGAAGUCCUAGCAUUUUACAUGCC
This is a non-coding RNA of Picea glauca (white spruce), 121 nucleotides long. Lineage: Eukaryota; Viridiplantae; Streptophyta; Pinopsida; Pinales; Pinaceae. The record is from Rfam.